AGCGGCAGCGGGAGGAAGCUUGCUUCCUCGCCGGCGAGCGGCGGACGGGUGAGUAAUGUCUGGGAAACUGCCCGAUGGAGGGGGAUAACUACUGGAAACGGUAGCUAAUACCGCAUAACGUCUACGGACCAAAGUGGGGGACCUUCGGGCCUCACACCAUCGGAUGUGCCCAGAUGGGAUUAGCUGGUAGGUGGGGUAAUGGCUCACCUAGGCGACGAUCCCUAGCUGGUCUGAGAGGAUGACCAGCCACACUGGAACUGAGACACGGUCCAGACUCCUACGGGAGGCAGCAGUGGGGAAUAUUGCACAAUGGGCGCAAGCCUGACGCAGCCAUGCCGCGUGUGUGAAGAAGGCCUUCGGGUUGUAAAGCACUUUCAGCGAGGAGGAAGGCGUUGUAGUUAAUAGCUGCAACGAUUGACGUUACUCGCAGAAGAAGCACCGGCUAACUCCGUGCCAGCAGCCGCGGUAAUACGGAGGGUGCAAGCGUUAAUCGGAAUUACUGGGCGUAAAGCGCACGCAGGCGGUCUGUUAAGUCAGAUGUGAAAUCCCCGGGCUUAACCUGGGAACUGCAUUUGAAACUGGCAGGCUAGAGUCUCGUAGAGGGGGGUAGAAUUCCAGGUGUAGCGGUGAAAUGCGUAGAGAUCUGGAGGAAUACCGGUGGCGAAGGCGGCCCCCUGG
RNAcentral lists this ribosomal RNA (678 nucleotides) under uncultured bacterium. Its description in RNAcentral is "bacterial SSU rRNA". It matches the Rfam family "Bacterial small subunit ribosomal RNA", at positions 65 to 732 of the family's 1533-position model. The record is from RNAcentral.